RNAcentral lists this ribosomal RNA (1329 nucleotides) under Microbacterium hydrocarbonoxydans. RNAcentral describes it as "bacterial SSU rRNA". It matches the Rfam family "Bacterial small subunit ribosomal RNA", at positions 61 to 1399 of the family's 1533-position model. Lineage: Bacteria; Bacillati; Actinomycetota; Actinomycetes; Micrococcales; Microbacteriaceae. The record is from RNAcentral.
GUCGAACGGUGAACACGGAGCUUGCUCUGUGGGAUCAGUGGCGAACGGGUGAGUAACACGUGAGCAACCUGCCCCUGACUCUGGGAUAAGCGCUGGAAACGGCGUCUAAUACUGGAUACGAACCACGAAGGCAUCUUCAGUGGUUGGAAAGAAUUUCGGUUGGGGAUGGGCUCGCGGCCUAUCAGCUUGUUGGUGAGGUAAUGGCUCACCAAGGCGUCGACGGGUAGCCGGCCUGAGAGGGUGACCGGCCACACUGGGACUGAGACACGGCCCAGACUCCUACGGGAGGCAGCAGUGGGGAAUAUUGCACAAUGGGCGCAAGCCUGAUGCAGCAACGCCGCGUGAGGGAUGACGGCCUUCGGGUUGUAAACCUCUUUUAGCAGGGAAGAAGCGAAAGUGACGGUACCUGCAGAAAAAGCGCCGGCUAACUACGUGCCAGCAGCCGCGGUAAUACGUAGGGCGCAAGCGUUAUCCGGAAUUAUUGGGCGUAAAGAGCUCGUAGGCGGUUUGUCGCGUCUGCUGUGAAAUCCGGAGGCUCAACCUCCGGCCUGCAGUGGGUACGGGCAGACUAGAGUGCGGUAGGGGAGAUUGGAAUUCCUGGUGUAGCGGUGGAAUGCGCAGAUAUCAGGAGGAACACCGAUGGCGAAGGCAGAUCUCUGGGCCGUAACUGACGCUGAGGAGCGAAAGGGUGGGGAGCAAACAGGCUUAGAUACCCUGGUAGUCCACCCCGUAAACGUUGGGAACUAGUUGUGGGGUCCAUUCCACGGAUUCCGUGACGCAGCUAACGCAUUAAGUUCCCCGCCUGGGGAGUACGGCCGCAAGGCUAAAACUCAAAGGAAUUGACGGGGACCCGCACAAGCGGCGGAGCAUGCGGAUUAAUUCGAUGCAACGCGAAGAACCUUACCAAGGCUUGACAUAUACGAGAACGGGCCAGAAAUGGUCAACUCUUUGGACACUCGUAAACAGGUGGUGCAUGGUUGUCGUCAGCUCGUGUCGUGAGAUGUUGGGUUAAGUCCCGCAACGAGCGCAACCCUCGUUCUAUGUUGCCAGCACGUAAUGGUGGGAACUCAUGGGAUACUGCCGGGGUCAACUCGGAGGAAGGUGGGGAUGACGUCAAAUCAUCAUGCCCCUUAUGUCUUGGGCUUCACGCAUGCUACAAUGGCCGGUACAAAGGGCUGCAAUACCGCGAGGUGGAGCGAAUCCCAAAAAGCCGGUCCCAGUUCGGAUUGAGGUCUGCAACUCGACCUCAUGAAGUCGGAGUCGCUAGUAAUCGCAGAUCAGCAACGCUGCGGUGAAUACGUUCCCGGGUCUUGUACACACCGCCCGUCA